Molecule: ribosomal RNA, 292 nt
Filed under: uncultured bacterium
Lineage: Bacteria
Description: partial 16S ribosomal RNA
Rfam family: Bacterial small subunit ribosomal RNA
Source: RNAcentral
GUGUCAGCCGCCGCGGUAAGACGUAGGAUGCAAGCGUUGUCCGGAUUUAUUGGGCGUAAAGAGUUCGUAGGCGGUUCGUUAAGUCUGGUGUUAAAGAUCGGGGCUCAACCCCGGGAGUGCACUGGAUACUGGCGGACUCGAGUGUGGUAGAGGCAAGUGGAAUUCCCAGUGUAGCGGUGAAAUGCGUAGAUAUUGGGAAGAACACCGGUGGCGCAAGCGACUUGCUGGGCCAUUACUGACGCUGAGGAACGAAAGCUAGGGGAGCGAAUGGGAUUAGAUACCCCUGUAGUCC